Molecule: long non-coding RNA, 640 nt
Organism: Suricata suricatta (meerkat)
Lineage: Eukaryota; Metazoa; Chordata; Mammalia; Carnivora; Herpestidae
Exons: 2
Source: RefSeq, a predicted model, not a curated record
GCAGCAGUCCCUUUCAAGAGCAGAAGUGGAGGCCAGCUUGCAGUUUUUCCAGUACCAACAGCCUCUUUGCACCCCCUGAACAACAGUUUCUCGAGCUGGAUGGUAUCCAGUUCUCCGAGCUCCAAGGGGGGUUCUCUUCAAAGCUCUAAGUCUAAAUAAUUUCAACCUCUUCCUUCCUGUCCUCAGCCCUAAGGCGGGACUCCGGCUGAUACAGAAAAGAAGCAGUUUCUUCUGAACAGUGACAGGGGACUCAGAGACUUUUGUGCCCCACCUCACCGCAGCAGGAGUGAAGAAGGAUAACCUCACAUGGCAACUUCCUCAACGGCGGAGGGUGUGUGAAAGCCUUGCUCAGUUUCGUCCUAGGUUUGCAAAGAGCAGUGGGUGCAAUGUCAAAGGGGACAAUGCAUUUCACCUCAGCAGAAUUGUGGGCUUGAGCUGCUGCAAACAAGAAAGCCCAUAACAUCCUCAGUCUAAAGGUGGCUUUUCUUGGCCUCCUCUGCCCAGUGGUCCUAUUUAGACUUCACCAAAUCAUCAAGACAGAAAACCUUAAAGCCACUUUCUAAUCCAUCUCUCAUUAUGCUCACCAGCAAGAGUUUGUGUCUAUAGUUUGUGAUUUAAAUAUACCAGAAAACAAUCUUGU